GUAGCAGUGCUACUAAGAUGGCUUACCUUUGCAAAUACUGAUAGGGCACAGAAAUUAUGUCUAUAGCCAGCUAGAGAAGAUGUUCACCUGGGGCUACAAGCUAC
Molecule: long non-coding RNA, 104 nt
Organism: Octopus sinensis (East Asian common octopus)
Lineage: Eukaryota; Metazoa; Mollusca; Cephalopoda; Octopoda; Octopodidae
Exons: 3
Source: RefSeq, a predicted model, not a curated record